Molecule: unclassified non-coding RNA, 217 nt
Filed under: Hevea brasiliensis (rubber tree)
Lineage: Eukaryota; Viridiplantae; Streptophyta; Magnoliopsida; Malpighiales; Euphorbiaceae
Source: RNAcentral
UUCGAGAAGGUCACUUGUCGGCUUGCGGCAUUUUCGAUCCUCUUCAUCUGAAUCUUUCCUCUCACCAUUUCCAAAGAUUAAGGCAGAAACCCCAGAAAUCCUGCGANNNNNNNAUUGCUCUAAAGAAAUCUAGCUCUCCCCUUCUUUUACAAGACCAGCAGAACGGCUAAAAAUGCUUUAGCGAGCUCAAAAUAUCAAAAUUUGACAAGAAUAGUAC